Molecule: long non-coding RNA, 230 nt
Filed under: Elaeis guineensis (African oil palm)
Lineage: Eukaryota; Viridiplantae; Streptophyta; Magnoliopsida; Arecales; Arecaceae
Description: long non-coding RNA (EGUI_LNC028265)
Source: RNAcentral
AUUGGAUCAUGAACAAAUCGAAUCGAAGGCAGGUUGGAUCAAAAAGGUCUAAAUCUAAAGCUGACCUAUUUAUUAAAUGAAAUAGAUUUAAAAUCUAAACCUAUCAUAUUUAAUAAAUAAGUAACUUGACCCAAUCCAUUUAGCUUGUUUAAAAAAUGAGUAACCUAUUUAUCCAAUUAACUUGGUACAUUAUGUUAGGCAGAAGUGAUUUCUUUUCUCCUAGGUAAGCU